This 21194-nucleotide long non-coding RNA is filed under the name Medicago truncatula (barrel medic). RNAcentral's name for it is "long non-coding RNA (MTRU_LNC002001)". The stretch from base 15001 to 15082 matches the Rfam family "tRNA". The record is from RNAcentral. Lineage: Eukaryota; Viridiplantae; Streptophyta; Magnoliopsida; Fabales; Fabaceae.
CUCAUAAUAACAAUGGGCUUUCGUUUACCUGGUAUCAUUAGACGGUCAUCAUCUUCCAAGGCUGUGGAUGAAGUCCCAAAAGGCUAUCUUGCGGUUUAUGUUGGAGAAAAAAUGAAGCGAUUUGUGAUUCCAACUUCAUUAUUGAAUCAACCUUCAUUUCAAGAGUCGUUAAGCCAAUCAGAAGAAGAGUUUGAAUAUGAUCAUCGAAUGGAUGGUCUCUCGAUUCCUUGCAGUGAAGAUGUUUUCUUAGAACACACUUCGUGCUUCAAUGUUAAAUCUCAUUAAAGGAGACUUACAUAGAUAUUAGUUAGUUAAGACAAAUUGUACAGCAUACACUUUCAUUUUUCAUUCGUUUCUAAGCUGAAAUGCCAUCCAACCGAGACAGUUAUGAACAGAGAUAUUUGAGUUUUUGGUCGAAUUUCAACGAAUUUCUGUAUACAUCUUAUUUUUGCACAAAAGAUUGUAUAUACUAACAGCAACCUUUUUACAUAUUCUGUUGUCCAAUAAACAUGUAAUUUAACAAUGGCAUAGGUCAAAAGAAAACAUAAUUCUCACCGAAGGAUUACUAUUUGCUAGUUCUUUUAUUGGAAGAAGUAGGAGAACAAUUGCGGUUGUAAAAUUGCAAAAUGAAAUCGAAGAGCCUUGUAAUCAUAAGUUCGUCAGCCUCGGGCAUGUCAAAACAACCAUAUGUUCUAGAGGUGUCCAUCAAGAAUCACAAGGUUUUAGAGUAGAUGACUGACUUGGAGAAAUGAAAGAGAUUUGUACAAAAAAAAAAAAAAACGUAAUUAUUGUUUAACCGAUUUAAUCCCUUGUUUCAUAUGUCCAACAUAUGCUCAAAGAGUUUCAUUUUUUUUUUUUUGUAUAAAUCUUUUUGAUCUAUCCGUAUAUGGGUUAGUCAUAAUAAGUUAUCAAUCACUAUGACAUACGGUUGCUAAAGAAAUUUCUUCAAUUUUUGAUAAAUGUUUGCACAUUAUUAGCAAUCUGCUUCAUUGAUCUAUUUCCUACCAUUUCCUAAUGUCUUUAACAAAUAGAAAAUCAAAGAAACAAAGUAAAGGAACUCUCUUAUUUAAAACUCUUCUUGUUCCAAAAUCAGAAUAGUCUUCCUGGUUUUGGAGUCAAACAUAAUUGCUUCUUUCAUAAUAAGGCUUUCACAAAAGGAAAAUACUUUGCAGUUUCACAGUAUCAAACAUAAUUCUACAUUAAACUUGUUUAUCCCAAACUCUAUUAAAGGUUAGUUUUGUUAGCGGAAACUCUGCCAAGGAAAAUAUGAAAGAUAGAUCUCUGUCCCUUUGUAUUAUAUUUUGAAAGGGUGGGGUACAAUCUAAGACAAACACUUCAUGAUAUCUCAUCCUAUGCUCUCUAUUAUUUUACCCUUUCAUACAGCCAUUUAGCUUUGAAUUGGGUUUAAAGGAAAACCAAAGAAAUCUCAUUUGCAGCCUAUUGCAGAUAAGAUAAAGUCUAAGCUUAGUGCGUGGAAAGCUUCUCUUCUCUCUAUUGCAGGGAGAGUGACUUUGGUUAAGUAUGUGAUUCAAGGAAUGAUGAUGCACACUAUAUAAUCUGUACUCUUGGCCUAAUUCAUUGCUGAAGGAAGUUGAAGCUUGGAUCAGGAACUUUAUUAAUUUGGAGUGGUGACAUAUCCAAAAGGAAGUUAGUGACUGUUUCUUGGCGUAAAGUUUGCAAGCCCUACUCUGAAGGAGGUUUGGGAUUGAGUACACUUUGAAUGAGCUGCAAACCUUAAGUUCUGUUGGGAUCUCAAAAAUUCAAAUGAAGACUGGGCCAUUCUUCUAAGAAGUAAGGUGUUUAGAGGAAGCAAAGUAAUUUCAAUGAAAAUUGCAGUGUUAAGUCAGAGAUUAUUAAUAUCAAUGAAAAGUGCAGCUGGAUCAUAGGUAAUGGGGAAAAUAUCAAUUUUUGGCUUGAUCCGUGGCUUGACAACCUGUUGCUUCUAUUCUUAACUUGCCAGGCAACAUUCAUAGUAGUUUAAUAGAUAGGGUUUCUGAUUUUUUACCGGCACUUCCCUCAACAUGUUUUGGACUCUUUCCCUAACCUGAAUCAACUUGUCAUGCAAGUAACUCUCCCUAGUGAGCCUAAGGAAGACAAAUUAGUUUGGAAAAGAUGCUAAACAGGAGAUCUUUCUCUUAAAGAGGCUUUUUCAUUCAAAUAUGGCACAGGACAAAAUAUUUCUUGGGCAAAAACGCUAUGGUGCCCUGAUAUCCCACCUUCAAAAUCUUUAUUGACAUGGAGACUCAUGCACAACAAACUUCCAACUGAUGAUAACCUAGUGCUCAGAGGGUGUAACCUUCCUUCAAUGUGCUUUUCUUGUCAGACUUCCUCAGAAACCACCUUUCAUUUGUUUUUUUGAAUGUCCAUUUGCUAUAAAAUUGUGGUCAUGGUUAGCUUCUCUCCUCAACAUGCCUCUUCAGUUCAACUUUUUGGGAGAAAUUUGGUCAAUCUUAGAUCAUAGUUGGACUCCUCAGUGCAAAGUAGUGGUUAAAGCUUGUAUCAUCAAUCUUUUAAUAAUCUGGUACAGAAGGAACAACGUUAGAUUCCAGGACAAGGUAGUUACUUGGAGAACAACUAUUACCUUGAUCAUCUCUAAGGUCUCUUUAUCAGGGAACUUCGCCUCAAAAACUGCUGCCUCCAACAUGUCUGAAUUCAUAAUUCUGAAGACUUGCAAAGUCACAAUCAAGCCUCCUAGGGAUUCCUUAAUCAAAGAAGUUAUUUGGGCUCCUCCUAUGCAUUCUUGGAUUAAGAUCAACAUGGUGCCUCAAUCAAGAACCCUACUAGAGCUGCAGCUGGAGGAAUAUUCAGAAACUCUGAUGGGGCUUGCUUAGGUGGCUUCUCUCAUUUUUUUGGUAAUGCAAAUGCUUUGUAUGCUGAACUGUUUGCAGCAAUGAAUGCUAUUGAAAUUGCUGCUUUGAUGGGAUUCUCUAAUGUUUGGUUAGAGUCUGAUUCUCAGUUGGUGAUCCUUGCCUUCAAGUCCAAAUCUGUUGUUCCUUGGGGUCUAAGGAACAAAUGGGAGAAAUGUAUUCAUAUUACUCAUAGAAUGAGAUUUUGUGCCACUCACAUUUAUAGGGUUGCGGAUUCCCUAGCCAACUUUGGUUUAACUUUAUCUACUUUAGAUUUGUUUUGGUUUGAUAGCAUCCCUGACUUUGUUAGGAGGGAAUACAAUAGGAAUAUGUUGGGUAUGCCCAACUUUAAAUAUGCCACCUUUUGAAAAGGUUCUGGUGUUGUCCUCCUUUUCUUUUUAAUGAAAUGAUAUGAUGCUCUUUGCAUCUUAAAAAAAAUUAAAAAAAAAUACAACAGUAUAGACUAAUCCAUCGAGCGGUGUAGGAAAUCAUUUAUAAAUAUGAUUAAAUUUAAAUGUUUUGUUAUUAAUUUUAUAACUUAGAAUAUAAAAUAUAUUUUUCUCUUAAAAAAAAAGAAUAUAAAAUAUAUUUUUAAAUAAUCAUAUUUUAUCGACAUUAGUAAUUUUUCACUCAUUUUAAUUUUAUAUUUUAUAAUUUAUGGUUAUAUAAAUCAGAUGAACUAGUUUUUUUUCUUCUUCUAUUUUUUAUUCACAUUCAUAUUUAUAUUUUAUAAUUUUUCUAUUUUUAAUUUUAUAACAUAGGUUCAACCUUUUUAUGAACCAGAUGAACUAUAGCGGACCUUCACAUGCAAUUACUCGAACCGUGGUUAGUUUAUUUUUUCAAUAUAAAUAUAGUAAAAAAAGGAGGAUAUAGAUAUGGUGAGAAUUUUUUUUGCAAAAAGAAAUGGUGAGUAUUAUUGUUGUAGGUAAAAGGAUGAAUUUAUAAUACAUUAUAAAAAUAAGGGCUAAUGGUGCUUUACCCCCUGUAAUAUAGAUCAUUUUUUAUUUUCUUCCCUGUAAAAUAUUAUUUUUGAUUUACCCCCCUGUAAUUUUUUUUUUUUUGGAAUACCCCCCUAAUAGGUCAUAAAAAAACGAAAAAAUUCUGCAAAAAAUAAAUAAAGUCGUUUUUUUAUGACCUAUUGGGGGGUAUUCCAAAAAAUAUAUAUUUUACAGGAGGUAAAUCAAAAUAAAUAUUUUACAGGGGGGAAAACCAAAAAUGACAUAUAUUACAGGGGGUAAAACACCAUUAACCCUAAAAAUAAAGUACUAUGAUAAAUAUACAACAGCAACCAAGCCUUAUCCCACUAAGUGGGGUCGGCUACAUGGAUCAAAUGACGCCAUAGUGUUCUAUCAAAAUCAUAUUUGGAUCCAACUCAUUGACCUCUAAAUCUUUUCCAAUGGUUUCUCGAAUGAUUUUCUUAGGUCUUCCUUUACCUCUUUUAACCUGAUUCUACUCCAUUUGAUCUACUCUUCUUACAACGGCAUCUACGGGUCUUCUCUCUACAUGUCAAAACCAUCUAAGCCUAUUUUCUACCAACUUUUCUACUAUAGGUGCUACCCCCACUCUCUCUAAUGGUGUCAUUAUUCUAUCAUGUCUAGUCUUACCACUCAUCCAGCGCAACAUCCUCAUCUCCGCUACACUUACUUUACUCUCGUGUUGGCUCUUAACUGCCCAACACUCCGUACCAUACAACAUUGUCGGUCUGACUGUUGUCUGAUAGAAUUUUCCUUUCAGCUUAAGUGGUACUUUCUUAUCGCACAAAACACUUGAGGCUCUUCUCCAUUUCAACCACCCAGCUUGAAUACGAUGAUUUACAUCUGCUUCUAUUUCUCCAUCAUUUUGCACUAUGGACCCAAGAUAUGUAAACUGUGUAACUUGGGGUAUGAUAUGAUCUCCAACUUUCACCUCCAAGGUAUACCCACUUCUCCUUUUGCUGAAGUUACAUUCCAAAUACUCCGUCUUGCUUCUACUCAAGCGGAAACCAUACGCUUCUAAGGCUUGCCUCGAGGUCUCUAGCCUCCCAUUUGACUCCUCCCUCGACUCACCAAGCAAGACUACAUCAUCGGCAAAAAGCAUACAUCUCGGUGUUAACUCUUGGAUGUGUUUCGUUAGUACAUCCAAAACUAAAGUAAAAAGAGAAGGACUUAGGGUUGACCCUUGGUGCAGUUCUAUUGUUAUGGGAAAAUCUACGCUAUCCCCAUCAUGCGUCUUCACACUAGUGGAAGCUCCCUCAUACAUAUCCCAGAUAGCUCUAAUAUAGGCAAUCCUCAUCCCUUUCUUCUCCAGGGUUUUCCACAAAAUCUCUCUAAGUACUCUAUCCUACGCCUUCUCCAAAUAAGUGAAAACUAAUUGCAAGUCUUUUUUAUCCGUCCGAUAUCGCUCCAUCAUGCGUCAAAGUAAGUAGUUCGCUUCCAUAGUCGACCUCCGAGGAAUAAAACCAAAUAAGUUAUCCGUAACAUGAGUCUCUUUUCUUAGUCUUCGCUCAAUUACCCUUUCCCAUAACUUCAUGGUAUGACUCAUUAGCUUAAUUCCCCUAUAAUUCGCGCAAUUAUGUAUAUCCCCUUUGUUCUUAUAAGGUGCUUCUUCUCCACUUGUCUGGAAUAUUCUUCGUCUUCAUAAUCUCGUUGAAUUUUUUUGUGAGCCACACAAUUCCUUAUAUCGCCAAGACUUUUCCACACUUCGAUAGGUAUGUUAUCCGGCCCAACUUCCUUGCCAUUACUCAUCCUUUUCAAUGCUUUUUUCACCUCGUGCUCUUGAAUUCGACGAUAAUAGUUAUAGUUUCGGCCCUCCGCUCUGAUGUCUAACCUGUUAGAGUCUGGUAAGAUCUCAUAUCCUUCAUUAAAUAAGUUAUGGAAAUACAUUUUCCAUCUAUCCUUAAUAUUUCUUUCUUGAACCAAAACUCUACCAUCUUCAUCUUUGAUACACUUCACUUGGUCCAGGUCUCUUGGCUUUCGUUCUCGUCCCUUCACAAGCUUGUAUAUAGAUUUCUCCCCCUCCUUGGUACCUAAAGAUUUGUAUAAUCCUCCAUAGGGUCUCGCUUCACUCACCGCCUUCUUAGCCUUUUUCCUAGCUAUCUUAUAUUAAUCCCAAGUUUCGGCAUUUUUACACUUAGACCAAUCUUUAAAUCAAUCUCUUUUAAUCCGAACUUUACUAUGAACACUGUUAUUCCACCACCAAGAUUCUUUAGCCCUAGGUCCAAAACCUCUAGAUUCUCCCAACGUCUCUUUUGCCACCUUCCUAAUCUCGUGAGCCAUCAUCUCCCACAUAUCAUUAGCGCUUCCAUGUGGUUGCCUGAAACCUCCCUCUAAUAUCUUGCAGAGCCCCGCUACGGCCAUUCUCUUUGCGCUCCUCUUAACCCUUACAUCCAUCACCAUUACUCUAUGUUGGGUAGUUAAGCCCUCUCCAGGUAUGACUUUACAGUCUAAUUAGAUCUUCCUGUCUGUUUUCCUAAUAAGAAAAAAUCGAUUUGAGAACAUGAGGGCCCACUCGUGUAAGUGAUGAGAUGCUCAUCUCUUUUCCUAAAACAUGUAUUAGCUAUAGUAAGAUCAAAAGCCGAUGAAAAAUCUAAGAUGGAAUUAUCCCCGGCAUUUAACUCCCCAAGACCAUACCCCCAAUGCACGCCCUCAAAACCUCUUGAAACACUCCCUACAUGCCCAUUUAAAUCACCUCAUAGAAAAAUCUUUUCUCCUAAUGGGAUAUCCUGAAUUAAGCCUUCUAGCUCCUCCCAAAACUUGACUUUAAGGUGUUCUUCUAACCCUACCUGAGGUGCAUAAGCGCUAAUUACGUUAAAGGUCUCUUGUUCCACUACAAACUUUAGGGAUAUAAUCCGAUCUCCUAUCCUUUUAACAUCCACAAUAUCUUUCUUCCACUCGUUAUCCACAAUGAUGCCUACCCCAUUUCUCGAUCUAACUUCGCCUGUGUAUCAAAGCUUAAAUCCUGAACUAUCUACUUCUUUCGCCUUUUUCCCCACCCACUUAGUUUCUUGUAGGCACAUAAAAUUAAUCCUCCUCCUGGUCAUAAUGUCUACUACUUCCAUAGAUUUACCCACAAGAGUACCUAUAUUACAUGUCCCAAAACGAAUCCUGCUCUCAUGAACUAGCUUCUUUACCCACACCCGUUCACGAAGAUGUGGAAACCCUUGCUUAUUUUUCACUACAUCCAGGCGGUGAUGCAGCGGCCCUUGCUCAUUUGACAUUGUACUCGAGCUAUACAGCGUGUUGCUUCUAGGCAACGACCUAACAUUCACACUAUUUUGUAUUUGGUCCAUGUCAUAGAGAUUCGGCAAAGUUUUACGUUGGCUGUCGAGGCAUAACAUAACCUUCCUUUUACUCGGGCUUGGGAUCGACCUUGGUAGGAUUAAAGUACUAUGAUAAAUAUCUUAAAACAUAAACAACUAAAUUAAUUUUGAAUAAAAGAUGAAUUUGAAGGAGCAAAAGAAUAUUUUAGCACAACUUUUUACUCAUUAUUAUGUUGUUAGGGAAUUAGAAAGUGUGCUAGCUAGUCUUUGAUGUGAUAUGAUUACUACCAUUAGUUGUGGAAUUACAAAAGUUUAGGGGAUGACUACCGACUUGUAUACUUCUAUUAUUGGUGCAUCAUUGUUUUUCAUAGAGGGCUAUAUUUUCUACAAAACACUAGUUAUCCCUUUGAACCUUGAAACACCUAUGAAUAUCCUUUGCCAGAAUUUGAGGAAUGCUUGAUGAGAGAGGACGAAUAAUAGGUCAAAGGUCGGUUGAACUAUACGCAAGUUUCAACAAAGAUAAAAGUUGGAAAUUAUUUUUACUUUAUUUAUAAUGUUAUAUCUAAGGAGGGUGUAUUGAAUUAGGAUUUUAAAUGAUAAUUUUUGUUUAAAAAAGUUUUGAAGAUUUUAAAAGACUUAGCAUAAUUUUGAUGACUUUAAUUAUUUUAAAAGACUAUUAAAGAUUUCAAUAGAUUUAAUUCAUAAGGUUUUAAAGGAUUUAAAAUGAUUUUAUGGAUUUCAAGAGACUUCAGCAGAUUUUAUGAAUAUUAAUAAAUAAUUGAAAAAAAAAAUCAUAACACACUCUCUUUCACAAAAUCUCAAUAAAGAUUUUUUUAUUUUUUUAUGUUAUUUUUAUUUUUUACGGGAGAGAGAGGAAAAGAGAGAGUAAUAGAGAAGGGAGGAGAGAGGGAGAGAUAUUAAUAUCUUAAAAGAAAAAAACAAUCUUAACAAAUAUUAUGUUUUCAUGAAAGACUUUUUCAUGCCAAAAUUUCACUAGAAAAUUCCACAAAAUUCAUCAAAAUCUGAUUUAUUAAAUAAUCUUUCAAAAUUUGAAUGAUUUUGAAUACCACUAAACUUUUUUGUAAGUGAUUAAGAAUCUUGAUUGAUUAUAACAAGACUUUUUUUGACUUUUUUAAAUGACAAAAAAUUUUGAUUGAACAAUGCAAAAUUUUUUUUAAAUUGAAAAGAAUCUCAUUAUUGAAUAUCACAAAAUUUUUUCAUUAUAAAACAGUCUUUUAAAAUUCCUUAAAAUCAUGAUCCAAUAUACCCUAAAUGAAUGAGCAAUUUUCUGAAAAUAAAGUAACACAAAUUCAGCCCAUUUUACUUUCUACCAAGUUUUAGGGUUUUGGGUAGAAACAACAGUUACACUUUGUACCAAGUUUUCUUUUCUCGCGGCGGCGAUUCAAGACCUUCGAAAUGGGUAAGAACAAACCAAUCCUUUAUUCUCUCGUACUCAAUUUAAUUGAAUCUGAAUCAUUUAUUCUCAUUUUAACGCAAUAGCUAAAACAUAUGAGCUGAGGCAAAAAACAAAACCAGAUCUUCUGAAUCAAUUGAAGGAUCUGAAAGCAGAACUUGCUCUCCUUCGCGUCGCGAAAGUCACCGGCGGUGCCCCUAAUAAAAUAUCCAAAAUGUAUGCCUUUUCCGCUGCACUUAAUUGUAUACAUAUUUUCUUGUUUUUAUUAUAUAAUAAUGUUUGUUUUAAUUUAAAUACGCUGAGAUUCAGCCCUUAUGUAUCUAUCUAACUUUCUGCAGCAAAGUGAUUCAAAACAAAUUACUAGGAGUGAAUAGGCAAAAACCCCCUGAAAUUGUAACUUUCGUCAAAAACCCCCCUGAUUUUUAAGAAACUUGAAAAACCCCUUUGAAAUUAUCAAACGUCAGUCAAUUACCCCCCUCCGUUUGUUUUGGCUGUUAAAUGACUAUUUUUUUUAUUUCUUUUUGCUUUCUUCAUCUUCUUCCUUCCACUUUUUUCAUCAUCUUCUUCAAUAUUCAUAAAAAAAAAUCCAGAAAAAUUUAAGAAACAACAACCAUUAACAACAUCAUCAUCAACAUCACACACUUUAUAAUGAUUCUCUCUCUCUCUUGUUUGUUACCUUCUUGAAUUAAUCAACAACAACCCUUUGGAAUUCAUCAACAACAAAAUGAAUAAUAGAAAAGAUCAUGAACUUGUUGGAAAAAGAACAAGGUUUAUGAUGAAUAGCAUGAACAACAACAUCAACAACAACGGUUCUUCUCAUUCUCAUGAUGUUACUGUUCCAUCAUCACUCAUGUCUCCUCUUCAGAAUAAAUCACUUUUUAACCCUCAUUCAAAUGGAUUUCCUUUUUGGAGCAGCGAUGAGAUUACCAACAACAAUGAUCAUCAUCAUCAAUUGUCUCUUGAUCUUUCUGCUACGACCCUUUUGGAUAACAACAAUGAGCAACAAACAAGAGAAGUUAGUAAUGAGAUGAUGAUGAUGUUGUUAAUGGUUGUUGUUUCUUAAUUUUUCUGGAUUUUUUAUAAAUAUUCAUGAAGAUGAUGAAAAAAGUGGAAGGAAGAAGAUGAAGAAAGCAAAAAAAAAAAAAUAAAAAAAAAUAGUCAUUUAACUGCCAAAACAAACGGAGGGGGGUAAUUGACUAACAUUUGGCAAUUUCAGGGGGGUUUUUGACGAAAGCUACAAUUUCAAGGGGGUUUUUGCCUAUUUACUCAAAUUACUAGAUAUUUUUAGAUAUUUUUUUUUGUGUGUUUAUGAAUUUGAUUGUUUUUGUUAUUGUUUGGAUGCAGCAAAGUUGUUCGGCUUAACAUCGCACAGGUUUUGACAGUGAUUUCACAGAACCAAAAGACAGCAUUGAGGGCAGCGUAUAAGCACAAAAAGUACUUGCCUUUGGAUCUUCGUCCCAAAAAGACCAGAGCUAUUAGAAGACGUCUCACUAAGAAUCAGGUAUUUUUUUAUGUUCUACAUUGUUUCUGUUUGUGUUCUGUGGUAAAUAAGCAGAGAGGUGUGUCAAUAUUGAAGUGAAUAGUUUAUGAAGUUGGUGAAUUCUGAUUUUCAAAGCUUCUCUUGUUUUGAUCAAUUACUCUAGAGUGUCUUUUUCAUAUUGAACUUAUGGGAUUGCGUAAACAUAGCCGAAUUUUAAUAAAUCUAUAUUGUUCUACUAUCCUCUAUUUAGUAGAAAGUGUUGUCAAAUAGCCACCAUUGCAGUGCGGAAGUAUAGAAGAAUUUGAACAAACUGCUAUUUUCCGUGAUGUGCGAUUGACAACAUUGCAAAAUAUAGGAAUAUGGAACAUUUAUUCCCAUGAAAAUGGGCGUCAAAAAAGUUUCUAUGUAGGUGGGAAUACAUCCAUGUCUCUUUUAAAAUAAAUUUUGGGAAUAUUAUAAAUGUUAACCCAACAUCCUUUUUUAAAAGCUAUGAUAAAACAUCUAUCUUUGUAUUCUAAAGAAAGUUAUUUUCUGGAACAAGUCUAAGGCUUCUUCCAAAAUUUUUGAGAAUAUUAUAACUAUACAGAUUGAAUUUGAAGAUUUCAUCUAAAGCCUCCUUUGACACAAUUCUGAAUUCCUCUAAAUUAGGGGGGAUUUGUUAUGAAAAAAAAAGAACCCUAAAGCCCUUUUCCUCCCAAAGUACUCUAUUUCUUCCACUUGCUCCAUUUUUACCACUGCCCUCCCCUCCUAAACUCCUAAACACACCCUAAAUCUGGAACACUUAAAACAAACACGCCCUUAAGCUUGGAAUGUGGCAGAUUUGACUGUAAUGUUCAGCCACAUUUCUUCAGAAACUCAGAUUAAGCUUGCUUUGUUUAACUGGCAUGGUUUAGGUUAGGCCACAACAUGUGUUGCACAUAUUAAAAUGAAGACGAACAAUUCACUCAUUUUUUCAUAAUUGUUUAUGUGGACAAUAAAUAUGGAUCUUAACUUUAUGCACUAUGAGGGCCCCACAAGAUUUGUCAACAAGACCACACACCUUUUGUAAUAACUCUAGGGACUGGGGGAACUGGGUUUCGUUGUAGAGUUUUGCUGCAAUGGAAUUAUUUUAUCGAUGUGCCUUAUUGGAGCAUAGAUUAUAUAUUUGCCUGUUAUGACUGGUGCAAACCUUUUGUUUUUAUAGAACCUUAGUGUACCUGUUUUGACUUUUGUGACCAAUCUUUGUUGGUGAAGUUGUUUUGAGUAUCUUCUUUUCAUGAAUUCAUUGAAUUGCUGACUGCGGUUUCAUUGAAUAUUAUAAGCAAAAACUCAAUUGUUAGUUUCAUUGAAUAACUGAUGAAUAUGUUGUAUAAUAUUGACCAAAGAGUGUAUGAAUUAUCUUUGCGCCUUACUUUUCAUGAAUUGACUUGGUAUUUCUUACAGCUCUCUUUGAAGACAGACCGUGAGAAGAAGAAGGAAAUCUACUUCCCAUUGAGAAAGUAUGCCAUUAAAGCGUAAUGUUGGACCCUUUUUUUUUUUUUGUGGACAUUUUUCUAAAAAUAUUUGGUGUUGUGUUCUAUGUUUGUUUCCUUGAGUUUAACUUAUCUUCAUGAAAUGGAAUUACAAGUACAUUUGUUCUCAUUCCAGCUUCAGGUUUUUACUGCUUGAACUGUUUGUUUACUUUACCAUUUGGCACAAAUAUGUUUACAAAUAGUCGCAUCAAUAUAUAUGCAAGUAUGAUCGUUGUAACUUGAAUGACUAUGCGGUACGAGAGUCAUGUUGUGUUUGCUCCACUCUAUGUGAAUGCACGUCAUCGUGCGCUACUUCGGACAGCUCCAACACAGGACUAACGGCCUGAGGUAACCUUCCUUGAGGGAUUUCAUCCAUAACAUUAUGCAAUGCAAAGCUGAACGAGUUGGCGGAAACGUCGUUAUUAACGGCUACGACAUAAACAACGUUAUUAACGGGUACAACAACAUCGUUAUUAACGGGAGCUGACUGUUCCUGAUUGUUCAAACCACCUAUUGUAGAAGUUGGGGCUGUAUCAACAUGUUGAACCAUAUGUGUGUAUUUAGCGACAACAGUUUGAGUUAAUGCCUGUUCUUGGUUCUGCUUCUUUGUAAUAUAGAACGUUGAUCUAUACUACUAUGUAUUAUUGCUGUUGAAGCAGGGGAAGAACAGAACAUGUCCAUUCUUUUCAUGGAUAUAAGUUGAAUUGAAGUUAAGUUGUUUAAUUUGUUUGGUUUGUAAAUGGCUUUUUAAGUAGUAGCUGAAGGUAAUGAAGGCUAAAGGGAGUGUAAUUGUAAGAUCUUUCUAAUAUUGAGAGAGGGAAAAGAAGAGAUAAUGCAUUAUUAGGUCUCACUGUAAUGAUGCCUUGGAAGAUUUGGGAUUAAUCUCGAUCUUCAAAGUGCAUUUUCUCUUUAAUCCUUAUUUAUUUUCCUAAAAUAUGUAUCCUUUUAUAUUUUGUUCAAAAUUCAAUUAUCUCCUUUAUUUUUUAAAAUAUUCAUUUUAGUCGUUUAUCUGNACAACGAUAGACGAAGAAAAAUGUUAUGUGAACAAUAGUGAUUGAAUAUUAUGUGAACAAUAGUCGUUUUUUUAAAUAUUUACAUUGAAUGACUAUUGUGACUACUUGUUACAUAUUCAGCUACCAAAGUAAAUUACCCCAUAAUAAAUUUGUAUCGGAAUUUGUGUAUUUUAUUUUAUAUUAAAUAUACAAAUUUUGUUAUAUUUUUAGUUGCUUUUGUUAAUUUAUGUUUUUUUAUAUUUUCAAUAAAAAGUAAUGGAGUAUUUAGAUUUUUUUUUAUGUACAUGAGUCACUCUCUGGUUAAUUUUAUUUUGUAAAUUUUAUUUUCUAUUUAGCAUAAAAAUAUCACGUUGAAUUAGUUAUCAUUUCUUAUCUUUUAGCAUAAGUUUUAUUUUAAUUCUUUUUAAAUUUUUGUUUUGAAGAAGUCAACCUAUACCAUUGAAAUUGAGAUUGGAGAUAAUCAAACCUAAGACCUUGAGAAAAGCAUACUUCAAGGUCUCAAGCCAACGCCUAUUUUAUAGUUUUUUUUAAUUUAUUAUGCACAUGUGCUACAACAAUUUAUAAUUAAAAUAGUUAUUUUUAUGUAGUAAAUAGCUCAACAAAUGACAUCUAGAUUAUUAUUAUAAACAUUGAGUACGAAUAUCAUUACUUUCAUGUUUGCAUCCAUUGAUUAAAUGUGCUACAAUAUCAAUAUAUUUUAUCUGUCUGCAGGAGUUUUUUUUUUUUGAGGGAAUCUGUCCGUACGAGUUAACCUACCCACUUUACCCCUAUGAUGGGUUUUAUCUAUGCAUAUCAACUUAUAUUUUUUGUUAUCCCUAAUAAUUGCUACUUCACUAAAAAAUUGUAAAGGUCUAUUUUUUUAUGCAUUAAUCAGAUACCCUUUAAACGCAAGAGAGGAGUUAGAUAGGGAGAUCCCCUCUCCUCUUCUUUACUGCAUUGUUGAGGAUGUUUUGAGUCGAAACAUCUCCAAACUUGUGGAACAAGGCAAGCUUAAUCUCAUCAAAGGCACCAGAAAUGUUCAAGUUCCUUCUCAUUCUCUUUAUGCAGAUGAUAUAAUGAUCUUUUGCAAAGGAAAACUAUCUUCAAUUAAUGCCCUCAUGGAUUUGUUCAAUUCUUAUGCUUUGACUUCAGGUCAAUUUAUUAAUCCCUCUAAGUCUACUGUGUUUUAUGGCUCAAUUUCAAAUGCAAGGCUGGAGCAGAUAACCAAUCUUAUUGGUUUUAACAAAGGCUCACUCCCAUUUUCUUAUCUUGGAUUACCAAAUUUUAAAGGAAAACCAAAGAAAUCUCAUUUGCAGCCUAUUGCAGAUAAGAUAAAGUCUAAGCUUAGUGCGUGGAAAGCUUUUCUUCUCUCUAUUGCAGGGAGGGAGAGUGACUUUGGUUAAGUAUGUGAUUCAAGGAAUGAUGAUGCACACUAUAUAAUCUGUACUCUUGGCCUAAUUCAUUGCCGAAGGAAGUUGAAGCUUGGAUCAGGAACUUUAUUAAUUUGGAGUGGUGACAUAUCCAAAAGGAAGUUAGUGACUGUUUCUUGGAGUAAAGUUUGCAAACCCUACUCUGAAGGAGGUUUGGGAUUGAGAUCCUUGUACACUUUGAAUGAAGCUGCAAACCUUAAGUUCUGUUGGGAUCUCAAAAAUUCAAAUGAAGACUGGGCCAUUCUUCUAAGAAGUAAGGUGUUUAGAGGAAGCAAAGUAAUUUCAAUGAAAAUUGCAGUGUUAAGUCAGAGAUUAUUAAUAUCAAUGAAAAGUGCAGCUGGAUCAUAGGUAAUGGGGAAAAUAUCAAUUUUUGGCUUGAUCCGUGGCUUGACAACCUGUUGCUUCUAUUCUUAACUUGCCAGGCAACAUUCAUAGUAGUUUAAUAGAUAGGGUUUCUGAUUUUUUAACAGAAACCCUACUCUUUGGGAGAAAUUUGGUCAAUCUUAGAUCAUAGUUGGACUCCUCAGUGCUAGCAGUGUACAUAGGAGAGGACAUGAAGAGAUUUGUGAUCCCUAUAUCAUAUUUGAAGCAAAAAUCAUUCCAAGAAUUGCUGAGCCAAAGUGAGGAACAAUUUGAAUAUGAUCAUCCAAUGGGUGGUCUCACCAUUCCUUGCAGAGAAGACAUUUUCUUGGAUAUCACCUCUCACUUAAUUUGAAUUAGCUCUUUGAAGAUAUCAUAGGACUGACGUAGUUAUUUGACCCAUUUUGUAGCAGUUUAGUUUCUAUCCUUCAGAAGAUUAAUCUUUUGUUGUUAUCAUAGUUGUAAAAAUGUUCAUCUCAAUGAGAAAUUUAUUAACAUCAUUUUCUCCAUAAAUAUAAAUCUGUAAAUCAAAUCAUCUAAUGGAUAAAUGUUCAGUUUAGAAUCUUUAAAUGAUAUAAUGGAAGAUUCAGUUAUUCAAAUAUAAAAUCAACCCCCCCUUUUGCAAAUAUAAAAUUAAAGUUAAAAGUAACUAUCAUGAUUUAACGAGAUCAUAGAUUGUAUAUAUUGAAAAAAAAAAAAAAAAACUGAAGAGAAGCAGAUAAUUAUUCAAUAAAAAUUGGUUAAGCAACAAGUCGCUUUGGCCGAGUGGUUAAGGCGUGUGCCUGCUAAGUACAUGGGGUUUCCCUGCGAGAGUUCGAAUCUCUCAGGCGACGAAUUCUUUUUCUAACAAAAUUGAGUUACUCUACACUUUACUUUAUAAUCAAAUUCUUUAAUGACAAAGUUGUUUUUCUUUUGCUUUGAAAUGACUAGUUACAAUUUUGCUCUCAAAAAAGAAAGUAAUUUCAAUUUUGCUGUAAAAAAAUGUGUAAUUUCACACAUGGGAGAGAUGAAGAACUAAGGGUGUGCACACUUCUUUGAGUUAGAUAUUGUAUUUGGGGUUUGUCGAAAUUCAAGAUAAAUUGACGCAAUUUUUAAUAAAUUAGAGACCAAGAAAAAAAUUGAUGUAAUUUUUAAAACACAUUCCAAGACAUAUCAAAUAAAAUGUGAAACACUUUUUUUUAAUAAAUCAAUACAAUGUUCUUCAACCUCAAUUUAGAACCACUGAUGAGGACAGAAGGGGCAAAAAAUGUCAUGACCAGCUAGAAAUCCAUUUUGGUUUGUAUCUCUCAAAUACAAAUUAUGUAAAACUUCUUUUCUUUUAAACAUUUUGAGGACAGAAAAUCAGUUACCCUUUUUUUUUUUUAGAGAAAAAAUCAAUUACCCUUGAAAACCUCAACAGAUCAUCAUAUACCAUCUCCUAUAUAUAUAUAUAUAUACACUCAAACCAUCCCUCUUUUUUCAUAACUCUUUGCCACUCACACUUACUUUACAAUCAAAGUUCAAAUUCAAAUCUAAAAACAAAAGAGAAAACAAUUCAGAAGAAUGGGUGAUUUACAGAUUCAACAAGAAUCCAUGUUGAUCCCUCACAAACAGAAACAAUCCAUGAUUAUUCCAACAUCAUCAAUGCUUCAUCAUCACACUCACAACAACACUGUCAAACGCCGUUCACCAUCAUCAUCAUCUUAUCACCAACCAUCAUCCAAGAAGCAUUCUUUUGACGCAAGCAAUCUCACCCGUAAUGGCUUCUCUGCCAUUACACUUCCUUUCAGUCUCCGUGGAAAUGCUCUUAGCCGCUGUGUCUCUGAUCCAUGCACCUUUCCGGAUCAAUCCAUGCCGGUAAAAGGGCCGUCAACUGCUUUGCAGCCUCUGCCUCCGAUCAGCAGAUGUAUAUCUGAAGUUAUUGAUCCUACUGAGGUUAAAGAAGCAGUAGCUCGUUAUUUGAACUGUGCUGAAAAAACCACCCCUGAAUCUGAUUCAAUGGUAUGUGUUGAAACUUGUGUUUCUUGCUAAAAAAGUAAACUUUUUUUGAUUUGGAAUAUUGGGUUUUGUUUGUUUUUUGUAGAGGCUUAAAAGGAUGAAGGAUCGGUUAAAAGAAAUGAAGAAAGUGUGGGAUGAAGUUAUGGAAGUCGGGGAAGAAAAUGAAAAAGAACAAGAAGAAGAAGAGCCCUCUCCUGAUGCUGAAGAUAAAAAAGAUGAAAAAGAACAAGAACAAGAAGAAGAACCCUCUCCUGAUGCUGAAGAUGAAAAAGAUGAAAAAGAACAAGAACAAGAAGAAGAACCCUCUCUUGACUCUUUUGUUUCUGAAGAUGAAAAAGUCAUAUCUCAGGUACAUAUCUUGAAUAUUCAACUGUGAUUGAGUUUUCUAUUGUAAUCUUCAAUGUAUUUGGUUCUUUAAUUGGUACUUACAAGUUAUGCUCAUAAAUUUAUAAGUUUUUUCUUGUUUUUAUGUAUAUCCUAGUUGCACUUGCUUAAUUACGUAGAAUCCGGGGGUUAUGGGAAAUUAAAGUAUUGAAUUUGAUCAUAGUUGCAUUUGUAAUUAUAGUUUAUGUGCAGCAAUUUUAACAACUCAAUUAUAUAGGAUCUGGGAUUUAUGGGAAGUUAUUGAAUGUUUCGUUGCUUGUUCACAUAAUUUCUCUUCUGUAGUUAAGCAAUAGUCAUAUACGUUAAUGCUAGUAAGUUGUCCAUCACAGAUCACGGAAAUAGUGGUUUGUUCCAAUUCAGAUUAAUAGUUUUUAUGCUGAACAAUUGAUUUUUGUUUUUGUAGGAUGAAUUGGGAAAUGAUUAUGAAGAAGCUGUUAGUGUGGAGUGGGUUGAUAAGUGUUUAAGCCUUACUUUCAAGUGUCCAUGUGGCAAGGGAUAUGAGGUUCUAAUCUGUGCAAACAAUUGUUACUACAAGUUGGUCUAGAAGAAUCAGUAUGCUUAUUUGUGACAUGGAUCACUUUUGUUUAUAUUCUGUUUUAGUUUGGAAAAAGCUUGUCUGUUUUCAUUUGUAGUAGCACUUGGUUGUCACUAGAAGAACCAGUCUAUAUUUGUAGAUCCUUUACAUUUGUUUUGUAAAUAAGUUGGUAUGUACUAUCUCAACAUUCUUUGAACAUAAUGAAUGAAAUUAUUUUUAUACCAUCUAUCAGUUCAAUUCCUUGUGAAGUAAGCAUUACUAGUUCCUUUAGACAGUUGACUGCACAGUUGGGUUUGCGACGUUAUUAUUGACACAGCUUACUACCUUAGCAAGUACAAAACCUAAAUUUACAUGUGUCAACAUAAAACCUCUGCAAAACAUGCUAUGAUGAGCUACAAAGAAACAAGAACAACAAACCCUUAGCAACAGAAAACACAUGCUAUAUUGCACUCAAUUCAAUUCUGCCUGCAUAUACAGUCAAAAGAGAGACAAGCAAAUAAGUCAGGAGGAGAGGAAACAAGCAAAGUGAAACAAUGAGGUGCAUAUUACCUCUUCAUGUUUCUUUAACAUUUUUAGUAUAUGGAAAACUCUCUUUUCUAUAAUAAAAUAUCUCACUAAAGACUAAAAUUCUCUCUUUUCUAUAUAAUUCAAUCUAAUUAAUUCAACCACCCAAAUUGCGUUGACGACAUAUCAACUCUCCAUGUGUCACGUCGUAAAUAUUCUGAUGUGACACCUCUAAGAAAACUCCACAUUCUUCUAUGUGAACGCAUUUAUGCAUCCAAUAGUAUUCACUACUAGUCAUUUGUCAUUUGAGUUACAAUAUAAUAUAGCCGUUGCAAAUUAAAGUAUUAUUUACUCAAAAUUCAUUGCUUCUCGUCAAUGUCAUUAUUGGUAUUUCACCUUUAUUUCUUUAGCAAUGCAAAACACAUUAAUUUAAUUUGAUGCAUCUUAUAGAAAUUCAUUCUUGGCUCACUUAGAUAUAAUCUCAUCCUCAACUUACUAUAUGUUUUCUCUUGCUUUUGUAAUCAUCCUUUCUCUCAAGGUAAUCAUCUUAGUGAAAGACUAAAGAGCCACAACCCCACAAAACCGGCUUGUGAGGUGAGGAUUGCCUCCACUUAUAAACACUUUGUCAGGAAAUCUCUUAUCCGAUGUGGGACUCUUUAACACCCUGAUUCUGUAAAGGCUUCACAUCAGGGUUCAUAGGAGUAUCAAUUGGUUUACAAUCGAGCAUCCUUGUUUCUUCCAAGAUAUGAAAAACAUAUUUUCUCUGAGAAAUAACAAUGACAGUCUGUGAUUGAGCUACUUCAGUCCGAAGAACAUAUAACAUAACCGACCUAAUUUUUUUUGGAAAGCGGCCGAAUAAAUGUUGUUUUUGGUCUCUAAUUCAUUCUUAGUCCUUACUGGUAAUAACAAUGUCAUUUACACAUAACACAAGAUAAAUGACUUUGUUCGAAGAUGAACUUUAAAAGAAUAUAAAUUGAUCAGCUUCACAAAGAAUCAUGCCAAAUUGUUGAAUAACCUUGCUGAGUUUUCUGAACCAAGAUCGAGGUGAUUGAUUUAUAUCCUCCUAAGCAAUAAAUCCAAGUGGUUACUCCAUAAAUCUCAUCUUCUAUCAGUCGAGAUUUCAAAUAAUCCACCUGUUUAUGUUGGCCUACUUUAAUAGCAAGGGCCCACUAACAACCAAAUUUAGAGUUUCAAGGAGGUAUCAAGCUAGAUUUCAUGUACCACUAGACUCCAAUGCAUUCAUUUCAUCAAUCAUUGUUUUUUGCCAUCCUGGAUGGGAUAUUUCUUCCUGGGCGAACUUAGGAAUUGAGAUAACGGAUAUUGCAAAGACAAAAGCAUAGUGGGAUUGAGACAAACCAUGAAAAUUCAAAAGGUUAUACAUAGGAUGAGAAUUAUAAGUAAUCUGUUUACCUUUUACGAAGAGUAAUAUGUAAGUCAAUCGAAGGAUCAGGUGGGACCACAGUUGGGCAAAGGAUUGGAACCGAACCCGUAUCACUAAAAGAGGUAGGAAGAUUCUCUUGAGCUAAAUUGCCAAAAUCAGUUGGAGCACUCUCUCGAACUUUGACAUGUCAACGUUGAUAAAUAAUACCAUAAUAAUGAAACUUAGAACCACUAUGUGACCGUGGAGGUCUGUGAGUACAGACAAGUGUUUCAAAUAUAGGAAUAGGUAGCACAUGAGUACUAUCAUCUUUUGCAGAAUCAGAUGUAGCUGGUGUCACAAGUAUUUUCAAAGAAUGUAACAUUUGCAGAGAUAUAAAAUGGAUGUGUAGAUGGACAAUAACAUUGAUACCCCCUUUAAACUCUGAACUACCCCGGAAGCACACACACUUGAUAAACUGUGCCGACAAUCUUUCGCGACCAGGAGAUAGAUCAUGAACAAAAUAAGUGGAUCCAAACACUCGAAUAGGAACAAAAUAAAGGAGGUCCUUAUGAAACAAGUGAAAUGUGGAAUCACAUUAUCCAAUAUUGAAAAUGACUUGUAGUUGAUCAAAUAACAGACGGUGAAAAGUGCAAUACCUCAAAUUUUGAAAGAAGCAUGAGAAUUGAUCAAUAAGGUACGAGCUGUAUCAACUAGAUGACGAUGUUUCCGCUCAGCGAUACUAUUUUGUUGUCGUGUGUGUGGACAACUAGACUUAUGGUUUGUGCCCUGAGAAGUCAAGAAGAAGUUGCAUCGUGAAGAAAAGAAUUCUUUGGCAUUGUAACUAACACUUAUAAGAGCGGGUAAUCGAAAGCCCAUUUUAUGUGCUUAUUUGGGAAAAGAAGAACAGAGCAAAGAUAUAAAUAUAUUAAGAAGGAUGUAACUAACACUUGACGUUGCCAAUGACUAAUGUUGUUUUUGAAGGAAAUAGCAAGUAUAUUUAUAAUUAUUGAGGUUCUCUGAAAAGUGAAAAUCCGAUUCCAAUCUAAAAUAUUAUUUGAAAGAGUUGAAAGUUAAAGAGCAUAAGAUAAUAUAUCAUGUGGCGUUGUCUUAAGAUUGCAUUUAUCGUACCCCACCUUCUAAGAAAAUGGCCAAUAUAAAGCAUCCACUUGCAACCAAAUGAGACUUUCUCAAGUGCAGAGCAGCCUCAUAUCUGUUCGUGCAUUAAUUACUACUUCAUAAUUAUGAAAACAUGCUUAGACAUGUUUUUUUUUUAUUAUAAUAGUGUUGAUGUCCAGAUGCUAAAUUAUACUUUCAAGUUGAUUAAUUAUAUGCUGGCCUCUGCUCAACAAGGUGGGACUUGCAUUAUCUAUCUACCACAACAUUUGAUGUUGAUCUUUGAGAAAGUCCUCAAAACUCUUAAGACAACACCAUGUGAUGUUUCAUAUGCUCUUGUCUGACCAUGACUCAAAUCUUAUGGCCCUCAUUCACUGAGCAUUAUAGUUGCCGACGAUUUGUUAAGUAUCCUUUCAUCUAUAUAUAUUCAUGGCUGCAAGCCUUUAGCACCAACACAAAUCAUUCACAUUCCAACUCUCAUUUGAAGUUCAAAAACUUGACUCUUUUCUAUAUACAAGUUUGUCUAUUUUAGACCAAUCUCUUCUUUUCAACACAUACAAUACGACAAUGGGUUUCCGUUUACCUAGUAUCAUCAAAAGGUCAUCAUCUUCAAAAUCUGUGGGCGUUCCAAAGGGAUAUCUAGCAGUGUACGUAGGAAAGGAGAUGAAGAGAUUUGUGAUCCCUAUAUCAUAUUUGAAGCAAAAAUUAUUCCAAGAACUGCUGAGCCAAAGUGAGGAACAAUUUGAAUAUGAUCAUCCAAUGGGUGGUCUCACUAUUCCUUGCAGAGAAGAAGUUUUCUUAGACAUCACUUCUAGCUUGAAUUGAAGUAGCUCUGAAGAUAUUAGAAGAUUGACAUAGAUAUCUGAUCAAUUUUUGUAUGAAAUUAGUUUCUAACCUUCAAACGAUUUCCACUUUUGUUGUUAUCAUACUUGGAUGUAAAACAUUCAUCGGAAUGAGAAAUUUAUAUACACUAUUACAUUAUUUCUCUAUUCCUUCCUUCCUCUUAAUUAUCAAUAUGAAAAUCGAUUGCUAAAUGUUCAGUUUAUGAUAUCUCUGACAAAAUGAAAAAUUC